Molecule: small nucleolar RNA, 89 nt
Organism: Callithrix jacchus (white-tufted-ear marmoset)
Lineage: Eukaryota; Metazoa; Chordata; Mammalia; Primates; Cebidae
Source: Ensembl
UGGUUUUUGCUGUAGACAUGACCACAAAACAUUUCCCACUUGGUUUUCUAUCUGCUACCUUGCUCUCAGCCAGCCUAUUGGGAACAUUU